Long non-coding RNA from Raphanus sativus (radish), 1336 nucleotides. RefSeq lists it as uncharacterized. The record is from RefSeq and is a predicted model, not a curated record. The transcript is spliced from 10 exons. NCBI's taxonomy places the organism in Eukaryota, Viridiplantae, Streptophyta, Magnoliopsida, Brassicales, Brassicaceae.
UCUAUUGGGCUUGGGUCACGUAAUGGUUUUCGGCCCAGCGACCACAGAAGUAGAGAAAAUCCUGGAGUCAGCGUACGCAGCUCAUCUUCGUGUUCUUCACUCUCUCCAGAUCGGCGGACUCGACGAUUCCGAUUCUGUAACGGUAUGCGAUCUUAAAUCCUCUUAAUUCGUAAGCAAGCCCACUACGAAACCUUCGAUUGCUCUGUUCGUCGGUAAAAUCUGAUUGAUUGAGAAUGUGAACAGUCGUCAAGCCACUUUCUCCAAAAGACGUAACAGUUUGAUGAAGAAGGUGAAAGAGCUUUCGAUUCUCUGAGACGCCAAGGUCGCUGUCAUCAUCUUCUCCAGCACCGGCAAGGUUAACGAUUGCUCCGGCGCAAGAUGCGGAGAAGGGGAUGCUGGAGACACAGACUAAGAGAAUCUUAGCUUCUAAUAGAGGAGAGGGAGCAGCUGAAGACGAGCAAUGGGAAAUGCCUCGAGUGGCCAGUACAAGAAAUGGACUCGGUACGUAACAAGACCCCAAUUCAAGCGAAAUAGAGCCAAGGGACCAAACCCACUUUCAUGCAUGAAGAAAAAGAAGGUGAAUGAUACCAAGAAACCGCAAUCAAAACCCAAAGCUGAAUCGAAAUCUGGUGGACAAGAGGUAAAGAAAGGUGAAAGCGGUGCAGAAAAGAGGACAAGAAAACGGUCCAGAAAAGGAAAAGCUGGUCCGGAGAAAGGAAAAGCUGGUCCGGAGAGAACCUGAGUGAGUGAAAAACAGUUGUUGUUACGUCACAGAAUAUCAAAAUCAUGUACGACAAUAACUUGAAGCUCAGGUGAGAAAGAGCUGGAGAGGACCAGGGUCAAGAAGCUCGCAGUAUGGAGGAGUCACCUUCUAUAGAAGAACUGGUAGGUGGGAAUAUCAUAUAUGAUGCAUGGAUUGUGGGAAACAAGUUUAUUUAGGUGGUUUUGACACUGCUCAUGCCGCUGCUAGGUACCUCUGCAACUCUGAUUGAAAGGCCUUUGCGUUGAUGAUUUCUAUUUGGAUGCUAUUAUCUGAAAGUGAGGUCAAUGCGGUUUUGGAUUAUCGGUCAAGCUAUUGAAUGAUACAGUGAACAAAAAGAUGAAAUCGGAUUUUUGGGUUGGUGGAUACCUGAUCGACAAUGUGUUAGAUUGAAUCAAUGAUAUUGUUUCCUCCACUGUGUGUAUGAUGAACCCAGGCAGUGUCCUUUUGUUCUGGAAGGCAGACAGUGUCUCGGCUCUUCCUUAUGAUUUCAUAUCUUCUCCGGAAAUGCUCCAGAUGAUGAUUCAGACAUGUGAAACCCAGUCAAAAGAGGCAAUAUGAAGAAGCUCUAAGCGA